UGAAAAAAAAAAAUUAAAAAAGAAAACAUAUGUACGUAAUGCUAACAUAUGUUCAUAUACAAUGUUAAUUUUAUAUGUGCAUGAAAGUUACAGAAGCAGCGCUCUUGUCGCCGCCUCUUGUGGCGGGGUAGCUUUCUGUGACCAGCUUGGAUUAUCCUGGAACAAAGAUCUGGAGAGCAGGAGCACCUCAAGUCUGAGAGCCUGAUCUGCACCCUGAAGUCCAGACCUGGACCCCCAACUGCCUUUUUAACAUCUCCGCUUGGAAGUCUAGAAAGCAUCCCAGAUUUGACAUGUCCACAAUGGAAAUCACGAUUUUUUUUCCUUCACAAGCCUGCCUCUUCCUUGGUUUUACCCAUCUUAAUAAAUGAUUCCAUUCUUCCA
This is a long non-coding RNA of Felis catus (domestic cat), 381 nucleotides long. RefSeq lists it as uncharacterized. The record is from RefSeq and is a predicted model, not a curated record. NCBI's taxonomy places the organism in Eukaryota, Metazoa, Chordata, Mammalia, Carnivora, Felidae. The transcript is spliced from 2 exons.